GGGUUAUUAGCUCAUUUGGUAGAGCUUCUCGUUUACACCGAGACGGUAAGUGGUUCAAAUCCGCUAUAACCCA
This 73-nucleotide transfer RNA is filed under the name Jakoba libera. RNAcentral's name for it is "tRNA-Val". It matches the Rfam family "tRNA". From Rfam's summary of the family: Transfer RNA (tRNA) molecules are approximately 80 nucleotides in length. Their secondary structure includes four short double-helical elements and three loops (D, anti-codon, and T loops). Further hydrogen bonds mediate the characteristic L-shaped molecular structure. tRNAs have two regions of fundamental functional importance: the anti-codon, which is responsible for specific mRNA codon recognition, and the 3' end, to which the tRNAs corresponding amino acid is attached (by aminoacyl-tRNA synthetases). tRNAs cope with the degeneracy of the genetic code in two manners: having more than one tRNA (with a specific anti-codon) for a particular amino acid; and 'wobble' base-pairing, i.e. permitting non-standard base-pairing at the 3rd anti-codon position. Lineage: Eukaryota; Jakobea; Jakobida; Jakobidae. The record is from RNAcentral.